GACGAACCGUGCGAACGUUGUUCGGAAUCACUGGGCUUAAAGGGCGCGUAGGCGGGCUGUCAAGUCUGGGGUGAAAUGCCGCGGCUCAACCGUGGAACUGCCUUAGAUACUGACGGCCUCGAGGGAGGUAGGGGCGUGCGGAACUGUAGGUGGAGCGGUGAAAUGCGUUGAUAUCGCUUGGAACGCCGACGGUGAAAACAGCUCGCUGGGGGUGUGCUGACGCUGAGACACGAAAGCCAGGGGAGCGAACGGG
Molecule: ribosomal RNA, 253 nt
Filed under: uncultured bacterium
Lineage: Bacteria
Description: partial 16S ribosomal RNA
Rfam family: Bacterial small subunit ribosomal RNA
Source: RNAcentral